AUUGAACGCUGGCGGCGUGCCUAACACAUGCAAGUCGAGCGGUAACAGGUGUAGCAAUACAUGCUGACGAGCGGCGAACGGGUGAGUAAUGCUUCGGAAUCUACCUUAUGGUGGGGAAUAACUAGCCGAAAGGUAAGCUAAUACCGCAUACGUCCUACGGGAGAAAGCAGGGGAUCGCAAGACCUUGCGCCAAACGAUGAGCCGAAGUCGGAUUAGCCAGUUGGUAGGGUAACGGCCUACCAAGGCGACGAUCCGUAGCUGGUCUGAGAGGACGACCAGCCACACUGGGACUGAGACACGGCCCAGACUCCUACGGGAGGCAGCAGUGGGGAAUAUUGGACAAUGGGGGAAACCCUGAUCCAGCGACGCCGCGUGUGUGAAGAAGGCCUGCGGGUUGUAAAGCACUUUUAGUGGGGAUGAAAUGUGCAGGGUUAAUACCUCUGCAUUUUGACCUAACCCACAGAAAAAGCACCGGCUAACUCUGUGCCAGCCGCCGCGGUAA
Molecule: ribosomal RNA, 502 nt
Filed under: uncultured bacterium
Lineage: Bacteria
Description: partial 16S ribosomal RNA
Rfam family: Bacterial small subunit ribosomal RNA
Source: RNAcentral